Molecule: ribosomal RNA, 600 nt
Filed under: Wickerhamiella jalapaonensis
Lineage: Eukaryota; Fungi; Ascomycota; Dipodascomycetes; Dipodascales; Trichomonascaceae
Description: LSU rRNA
Rfam family: Eukaryotic large subunit ribosomal RNA
Source: RNAcentral
UUUGACCUCGUAUCAGGUAAGAGUACCCGCUGAACUUAAGCAUAUCAAUAAGCGGAGGAAAAGAAACCAACAGGGAUUGCCUUAGUAGCGGCGAGUGAACCGGCAAAAGCUCAAAUUUGAAAUCUGCCAGCAAUGGCCGAAUUGUAAUUUGUAGAUGGUAACUCUGUAAGAAGUCUUUGCUCAAGUUUCCUGGAACGGAACGCCAAGGAGGGUGACAGCCCCGUGAGGCAUUGACAUACUUGCGUGUAGAGUGCUAUCGAAGAGUCGAGUUGUUUGGGAAUGCAGCUCAAAGUGGGUGGUAAGUUCCAUCUAAAGCUAAAUAUUGGCGAGAGACCGAUAGCGAACAAGUACUGUGAAGGAAAGAUGAAAAGCACUUUGAAAAGAGAGUGAAAUAGUACGUGAAAUUGUUAAUAUGGAAGGAUAUAAAACUAGACAUGGAGCCUUAAGGUCUGCAGUCCCUCGGGAUUGUUUUGUCUUUUGGUUCUACACCAGCAUCAGUUUUGGCAGGAGGAUAAACAAUGCGGAAUGUAGCUGCUCUUGCAGUGUUAUAGACGUAUUGCAUACUCUUAGCCGAGACUGAGGUCAGCCUUUGUAGGAUGC